GUGAUCCGGGUCACGGCACCAAUAUAACAGUAUAACUUUAGACCGUCCCCUCGCCCAUACCCGGGCGUGAACCAGGGACCCUCUGCACACAUCAUCAACAGUCACCCUCGAAGCAUCGUUACCCAUCCCUCCACAAAAACCACAGCCCUUGCAGAGCAAGGGGAACUACUACUUGAAGGCCCUUCAUUCCAAAACCUGAAGCCCAGGAAAGACCAGGAAAAAGUGUUGGCUUAAGGCUCAGUGGGUGACCGGUAACAAUGAUUCAACCAAGCUGUUCCAGGCCUGGAGUGGCACGCUGGAACUUCCAGAGGCUUGUAGACCUGAAGCAGUGUGAUGUGAUCCAGAUCUGACAUCCCUAUUAGCUCAACCACAGUCCUCACAGCUGAAGUCGUCUGCCCCUGCACCUGCUACACCAGCCACGACAGGUGAUACAGAUCUGCCACCCCCAGCAGUUCAGCUGCAGUCACAGCAGUCCUCUGCUGUGGUAUUUCAUUUACCGGCUGCACCAGUUCCUACUACACUGGCCAUGAAGGGAGAUACUAUUGAGGAGACCCAGAUGGAUACAGAUCUGCCAUGCACUCCACCCAGUGCCUGACAGACUCAUCUCUGAGAAAGCAGAGAUGGGUGGCUGACAAGGAAAAAUAAAACACAACACACACUCUCUCUCUCUGUCAUACACACUCACACACGUUAUCCCCAGUGUAAAUGAGUUGUAUUUACUUGUUUAUUUUAUGUUUGCUCAAUUUGAUUUUAGGAUUUGAGAUAUCUAUUCC
Long non-coding RNA from Oncorhynchus tshawytscha (Chinook salmon), 773 nucleotides. Lineage: Eukaryota; Metazoa; Chordata; Actinopteri; Salmoniformes; Salmonidae. The record is from Ensembl.